CACAUAAAGUUGCAAUCAGACCAGAGAUUUCUUUAGUUUGGAAUCCAUGAUUAACAAUGGGUUCACUCAGGUUUUGGUUGAAGUUCUGAUGGGCAAUGGCAUACACAAAAACAUGCCAGGGUUGUUGUUUUUUUAGUGGGAAGAUAAAUCAUUAGUUAAUAAAUGCAAUUUAGUGGAAUAGCUCUUUUUGAACGUGACCCACAGAGAAAGAAUAAAGGACGCUUGGCUUUGAGGAAGUUAGGAAUGGCUAGUGUACAUGUGUGUGCAUGUUGCCCAACCUAUCGGCCUUCAAAACCCUGUCUUUAUUUUUAAAUUACAUGAUGCUUUUAUUUGACUUUAAGUCAGUACAUUUCUCCUUGAUUAUUAAAAUGUUUUACCAACUUUGUAUAUAAUAUUGGAUUCUACUUUAUUCCUCAGAAUCAUCACAAUCU
RNAcentral lists this long non-coding RNA (431 nucleotides) under Bos taurus (domestic cattle). RNAcentral describes it as "long non-coding RNA NONBTAT001408". Lineage: Eukaryota; Metazoa; Chordata; Mammalia; Artiodactyla; Bovidae. The record is from RNAcentral.